UACGUAGGCAGCGAGCGUUGUUCGGAGUUACUGGGCGUAAAGGGUGUGUAGGCGGUUGUUUAAGUUUGGUGUGAAAUCUCCCGGCUCAACUGGGAGGGUGCGCCGAAUACUGAAUGGCUUCGAGUGCGGGAGAGGAGAGUGGAAUUCCUGGUGUAGCGGUGAAAUGCGUAGAUAUCAGGAGGAACACCGGUGGUGUAGACGGCUCUCUGGACCGUAACUGACGCUGAGACACGAAAGCGUGGGUAGCAAACAGG
RNAcentral lists this ribosomal RNA (254 nucleotides) under uncultured bacterium. RNAcentral describes it as "partial 16S ribosomal RNA". It matches the Rfam family "Bacterial small subunit ribosomal RNA", at positions 524 to 776 of the family's 1533-position model. The record is from RNAcentral.